Molecule: ribosomal RNA, 1002 nt
Filed under: Sirenicapillaria rigida BLCC-M134
Lineage: Bacteria; Bacillati; Cyanobacteriota; Cyanophyceae; Oscillatoriales; Sirenicapillariaceae
Description: bacterial SSU rRNA
Rfam family: Bacterial small subunit ribosomal RNA
Source: RNAcentral
UUGGGUUGUAAACCCCUUUUCUCAGGGAAGAAGAAAGUGACGGUACCUGAGGAAUCAGCCUCGGCUAACUCCGUGCCAGCAGCCGCGGUAAUACGGAGGAGGCAAGCGUUAUCCGGAAUGAUUGGGCGUAAAGCGUCCGUAGGUGGCCACUCAAGUCUGCUGUCAAAUCCUGAGGCUCAACCUCAGAUCGGCAGUGGAAACUGAGUAGCUUGAGUGCGGUAGGGGCAGAGGGAAUUCCCGGUGUAGCGGUGAAAUGCGUAGAGAUCGGGAAGAACACCGGUGGCGAAAGCGCUCUGCUGGGCCGCAACUGACACUGAGGGACGAAAGCUAGGGGAGCGAAUGGGAUUAGAUACCCCAGUAGUCCUAGCCGUAAACGAUGGAAACUAGGUGUUGCCUGUAUCGACCCGGGCAGUGCCGUAGCUAACGCGUUAAGUUUCCCGCCUGGGGAGUACGCACGCAAGUGUGAAACUCAAAGGAAUUGACGGGGGCCCGCACAAGCGGUGGAGUAUGUGGUUUAAUUCGAUGCAACGCGAAGAACCUUACCAGGGCUUGACAUGUCCGGAAGCCUGGGGAAACCCGGGUGUGCCUUCGGGAACCGGAACACAGGUGGUGCAUGGCUGUCGUCAGCUCGUGUCGUGAGAUGUUGGGUUAAGUCCCGCAACGAGCGCAACCCUCGUUCUUAGUUGCCAGCAUUAAGUUGGGCACUCUAGGGAGACUGCCGGUGACAAACCGGAGGAAGGUGGGGAUGACGUCAAGUCAUCAUGCCCCUUACGUCCUGGGCUACACACGUACUACAAUGGGGAGGACAAAGGGCAGCCACUUCGCGAGAAGGAGCUAAUCCCUCAAACCUUUCCUCAGUUCAGAUUGCAGGCUGCAACUUGCGUGCUUGAAGGAGGAAUCGCUAGUAAUCGCAGGUCAGCAUAUUGCGGUGAAUCCGUUCCCUGGCCUUGUACACACCGCCCGUCACACCAUGGAAGUUAGCCCGGCCCGAAGUCAUUACUC